RNA transcript from Amphimedon queenslandica, 653 nucleotides. It is a transcript of the gene named ADP-ribosylation factor-like protein 6-interacting protein 4, with no coding region annotated. Lineage: Eukaryota; Metazoa; Porifera; Demospongiae; Haplosclerida; Niphatidae. The transcript is spliced from 5 exons. The record is from RefSeq and is a predicted model, not a curated record.
GCAUGCGCAGUAAACAAAGCCGGGACAAAAUGGCCGACUACAAGAAAGAGCGAGAGAAAGAAAGAGAGGGAUACAGGGACCGCUCAAGAUCUCCUCACAAGAAGCACUCGGCCACUGAGCCCUCCAGCAAAGGAAAGAAGUCAAGAAGAAGAUCCAAUAGAUCUUCAUCCCCUCCCUCCCCCGAGUCUGCCUCUUCCUAUUCCUCCUCAGAAAGUGAAAGAGACUCGUCUAGCGAAGAGAGUAAAACCCAUAGCAAACAGUCAAGACAUUCUUCGUCCUCAGAUCAUAAGGGAUGCCUUUAUCGUUUCAUCUCUCACUACUAUCAAUGGCGUCAAUCUCCCUGUGUUUGCCUACGGCUGAGGUACUGAUAGAAGGAGAAAGGGAAGAGCAAGAAGAAGGCAAAGAAAGAAAAGAAGAAGAAAAGGAAACACUCGGAAAAAGGACCUGUCCAACUAUCAAAGUUUGUUAAAGAAGAGAAAGGCAGGAGUGCUGUGUCUGGUCGGGUUAUAAAGAUGAAAGUAAAGAAAUCAAAAGAUGACAAGGCGAGAGACAUCAACAGAAAGAAGCUGUUAGAAUUCUUGAAUGCAUCCAUGUGACAUUGACGCAACUACAUAUACAUGUUGUUUUAGUAUUUAUAAAAACAUUGACAUCCA